This 253-nucleotide ribosomal RNA is filed under the name uncultured bacterium. Its description in RNAcentral is "partial 16S ribosomal RNA". It matches the Rfam family "Bacterial small subunit ribosomal RNA", at positions 524 to 776 of the family's 1533-position model. The record is from RNAcentral.
UACGUAGGGGGCAAGCGUUGUCCGGAUUUAUUGGGCGUAAAGCGCUCGCAGGUGGUUCGUUGCGUCGUGCGUGAAAGACCCCGGCUCAACUGGGGGGUGUCGUGCGAUACGGUCGGACUGGAGGCCAGUAGGGGGAUGCGGAAUUCCGGGUGUAGUGGUGGAAUGCGUAGAGAUCCGGAGGAACACCAGCGGCGAAGGCGGCAUCCUGGACUGGUCCUGACACUCAUGAGCGAAAGCGUGGGGAGCGAUCCGG